Long non-coding RNA from Bombus terrestris (buff-tailed bumblebee), 783 nucleotides. RefSeq lists it as uncharacterized. The transcript has 3 exons. Lineage: Eukaryota; Metazoa; Arthropoda; Insecta; Hymenoptera; Apidae. The record is from RefSeq and is a predicted model, not a curated record.
UAAACAAACUAACCAAAAAAUAUUUAGCAGUAAGUGCAACACCCGUUUCAUCUAAACGAAAUCGAUUAAAUAUAUGGAGAACAUUUACAAUCAUUGCUACUUUUAAGUUCGCUAUCCAAUGAAGAAUGGCAUAUUAAGUUCAGCAGUUUAGGCCAUGCAUUGACAGGUCAGUCAGGGCCAUGACUAUGGACAAGGCCCCUCCAUUAGUAUAAGCUAUAAACAUAAGUGUUCAAGAUCAAAGCAGUAAGCAUUUCAGGCUUAUACUAAUAGAUGGAUCUUGUCCACAGUCGUGUAUAAAGGUCUGAAAAUUCCGAUGGUGGGGAUAAGGCUCUUAAAUAUCGGGAGUUGUGCUUUACAAAUCGGCGACUAUGGCGCCUGAAUCUUUACUUUCUUAUUCAAUAAAGACGUUAAGGAAAGAUUUAUACAAUUGUAUAAUUAAUAUAAUUAAUAUAGUUAUAUAAAUUACUCUUUCUAUUUAUGAGAGAAUUCAGAAAUAUUUAGACCACAAAUAGAACUUACAAGUUGAUUUACAAUUUACGAAUUUACAAUUAUCGGAUAUAAGAUCAACUAAGAUGAAUUUAUAUUUAAAUAUAUAAGUAUUUACUAGCUCGAGGAUAUACGGAACAGAGAUUAGGACGAGAGAAGAUCGAUUUGAAAAAACGGAAAGUGGCGAGGACGAGCAACCGAAUAGGAAAAGCGGAUCAAUGUGAAUGAUAUUAAGUUGACAAACAUGUAAAUGUAUAGAUAGUGUAGAAAUAAAUAAAUAAGUAUAAAUAACUUCUA